GAUGAACGCUGGCGGCGUGCUUAACACAUGCAAGUCGAACGAUGAAGCCCAGCUUGCUGGGUGGAUUAGUGGCGAACGGGUGAGUAACACGUGAGUAACCUGCCCUUGACUCUGGGAUAAGCCUGGGAAACUGGGUCUAAUACUGGAUAUGACUUCUCAUCGCAUGGUGGGGGGUGGAAAGAUUUAUUGGUCUUGGAUGGACUCGCGGCCUAUCAGCUUAUUGGUGAGGUAAUGGCUCACCAAGGCGACGACGGGUAGCCGGCCUGAGAGGGUGACCGGCCACACUGGGACUGAGACACGGCCCAGACUCCUACGGGAGGCAGCAGUGGGGAAUAUUGCACAAUGGGCGCAAGCCUGAUGCAGCGACGCCGCGUGAGGGAUGACGGCCUUCGGGUUGUAAACCUCUUUCAGUAGGGAAGAAGCGAGAGUGACGGUACCUGCAGAAGAAGCGCCGGCUAACUACGUG
RNAcentral lists this ribosomal RNA (466 nucleotides) under uncultured bacterium. RNAcentral's name for it is "partial 16S ribosomal RNA". It matches the Rfam family "Bacterial small subunit ribosomal RNA", at positions 28 to 507 of the family's 1533-position model. The record is from RNAcentral.